Molecule: ribosomal RNA, 462 nt
Filed under: uncultured bacterium
Lineage: Bacteria
Description: partial 16S ribosomal RNA
Rfam family: Bacterial small subunit ribosomal RNA
Source: RNAcentral
GACGAACGCUGGCGGCGUGCUUAACACAUGCAAGUCGAACGGUAAGGCCUUUCGGGGUACACGAGUGGCGAACGGGUGAGUAACACGUGGGUGAUCUGCCCUGCACUUCGGGAUAAGCCCGGGGAACUGGGUCUAAUACCGGAUAGGACUGCGCGGUGCAUGCCGUGUGGUGGAAAGAUUUAUCGGUGCAGGAUGGGCCCGCGGCCUAUCAGCUUGUUGGUGGGGUAAUGGCCUACCAAGGCGACGACGGGUAGCCGGCCUGAGAGGGCGACCGGCCACACUGGGACUGAGACACGGCCCAGACUCCUACGGGAGGCAGCAGUGGGGAAUAUUGCACAAUGGGCGCAAGCCUGAUGCAGCGACGCCGCGUGAGGGAUGACGGCCUUCGGGUUGUAAACCUCUUUCAGCAGGGACGAAGCGUGAGUGACGGUACCUGCAGAAGAAGCACCGGCCAACUACGUG